AUUGAACGCUGGCGGUAGGCCUAACACAUGCAAGUCGAGCGCGAAAGUGCCUUCGGGCGCGAGUAGAGCGGCGGACGGGUGCGUAACGCGUAGGAAUCUGCCUGGUAGUGGGGGAUAACUCGGGGAAACUCGAGCUAAUACCGCAUACGCCCCACGGGGGAAAGCGGGGGGACCUUCGGGCCUCGCGCUAUCAGAUGAGCCUGCGUCGGAUUAGCUAGUUGGUAGGGUAAUGGCCUACCAAGGCGACGAUCCGUAGCUGGUCGUGAGAGGAUGAUCAGCCACACUGGGACUGAGACACGGCCC
This 303-nucleotide ribosomal RNA is filed under the name uncultured bacterium. RNAcentral describes it as "bacterial SSU rRNA". It matches the Rfam family "Bacterial small subunit ribosomal RNA", at positions 29 to 332 of the family's 1533-position model. The record is from RNAcentral.